GAUGAAGAACGUAGCGAAAUGCGAUACGUGAUGUGAAUUGCAGAAUCCCGUGAAUCAUCGAAUCUUUGAACGCAUGUUGCGCCCGAGGCUUGUCCCGAGGGCACGCCUGCCUGAGCGUCAAGCGACCCAAACUCGGUGUCCCAGCCCUUUGGGGUCGGGCGCCGCAUUUGGCCGUCCGUGGUGAAGUACUUCGCCCGGUCGGCUUAAUUGGAUGCGUUCGGUACCGCUGCCAGGGUGCUCCUUGUUCCGCCGACUCGGAGCCUCCUGGUCAGUGUGCCUGCGCUUGAUGGCGACAAACUUGACGAGCAAUGACCUCAGGUCAGGCGAGACUACCCGCUGAGUUUAAGCAUAUCAAUAAGCGGAGGA
This 366-nucleotide unclassified non-coding RNA is filed under the name soil metagenome. Its description in RNAcentral is "partial contains 5.8S ribosomal RNA, internal transcribed spacer 2, and large subunit ribosomal RNA". The stretch from base 1 to 120 matches the Rfam family "5.8S ribosomal RNA", at positions 35 to 154 of the family's 154-position model. The record is from RNAcentral.